This is an RNA transcript of Scophthalmus maximus (turbot), 2030 nucleotides long. RefSeq lists it as uncharacterized. The record is from RefSeq and is a predicted model, not a curated record. The transcript has 7 exons. NCBI's taxonomy places the organism in Eukaryota, Metazoa, Chordata, Actinopteri, Pleuronectiformes, Scophthalmidae.
GAUCUCUUGGCAAAUAGGAAAUAUAAUAUUCAUGGUCAUGUUUUCAUUAGUGUGUAAUAACCUGAAAUUAAGAAUCAUUGGGUUUGCAUCACCUUUAACAUGACCCCUUUGUAUGUAUGUCAGAGAGAGGGUCCUCUUCAGGAGUCCGCCGUGUUGGACCUUACGUGUCUCUACUGUAGCCCAGAACAGACAUUAGACAUUAUCAAUCAAAAGAAAACUGGCCAAUCAUCAUUUUUAGGAAUUCAUUUCUCCGUCGCUGUUCAUCAGGUCACAAACCUUCUUCCUCAACCACUGGCCUGAAGUGACCGUGCCAAUACAGUCUUCUCAACGCAACAUGCUGCUUGCCAUCUUUCUGCUGUUCUUGUCCUCUGAGAGCACAGUGAAAUGUCAGACUACACCCCAGCCUUCACACAGUACUACCUGGACUACGGUGACAAAUGUGGCUGGUUUUACAGAAAAAUUAUCUCCUCUGCAAUUGGUGGCCACGCCUUUCUACCCAGUUGUGGCAGGUCAAACAGUCAACCUGCACUGCAGUGCUCUCACCACGCCGGCCUCCGUCAUUUGGUCCUGGCAACGCCUAGAAAAUCUGGCCUGGCGAGAGGUGGGCCGCGUUAAUAACCUGACCCUCACCGAGCCAUGGCAAAGCGGGCCGUACCGCUGCAGCGCUGAGACCAGGUUUUCUCAGAGUGUGAGCUAUACCAUCACAGUCUUAAUCAUCGCCACGCAGCCAACAGUGUCCACAGAGCUUUAUUGUGUCUGCGUCGCCACCAAGUGGCAACCCACCAUGAUGUCACCCACUGGUCUGUGAGAUGGCCAGUUUUGAUCCUCGAGUUGAGUGUUUUGGCCAGCGCCAUAUUGGUUCUUUGAAACCAGAGGUGACCACAUUUGGAGGAGCUCGUCCACUGCACGUUCCAAUUACACCUGCUACCUGCACCCAUUGGAUGGUACUAGCUGUCAAUCACACGGUACCCAUGCCCCACUGCAUAUGGUGCAUCCUACUCUUAAUGGGACCAGGAUUCAAAAAAACUAACAUCAUGCUGUAUUGAAGAAGACUUGAAACUAGACAUUCUAGACACACAUAAACACUAAUCAAAACGUUUUCCCCACUUUUUAUAGGUGGUCAAAUGUCAACGUUGGGAUACCAGCAUGUUUCUACAUGCUCUUUAGCGGCUCGGCAAUCAGUUACUCUGGUUCGGUUGGUAAAUAGUCUCGUUUUGACAGAGGGGAAACUUUACAGCCCUCAGGAGGACAAACCAUGUUAUUCUGAAUGACCUGAAGCAUACCUUCUGCAUAUAAAGUAUUGAAAUUUGUAAUUCUUAUCAACUAAUGAACAGAUAUAAUACAAAUGAUAGGAUACAAAUAUGUGUAUCAAACCAAUUUUAUUUUUGACAGUUUUUGUCAUGCACAAAGACGGAACACAUUCUUUCCUACAUGUUUAUCCAUCUUCUGUGACACACAUCUAAAUCCUUUCACCGGCGAUUCUGUGCUGUUUCCCCAACUAACAAUAGUGGGUGAGAAGAUAGGAAUAGCGGCCCUCGUUCUGUCUCUCCUGGCCUUGAUCGUCGCCCUCACCAUUCUGUGUUUGCUGGUCUGGCAAAGAUUUGGUGACACUCGGGCCACCUGUAACACUGCAGCUAAAGCUUCUCCUGGACCUGGAAAGGCACCAAAGGGAUGUUUACCACAGACUCAAUGCCACGGAGAUGUGUACAUGAAUUACACCAGCACCAACCAAGCCUACAGUGAUCUGGACCCCACCAACAGAACAGAGGAUAGUGUGUACUCAAGUCUGUCAUGAACACACAUGGGAAGGAGGAGACGUGCAUUACAAAGAGGAAGAAGGCAGAGUUUACCAUAUGAUGUGGAGAUUGUCACUGUGCUUUAUCUCACAGUGUGUACUUUGUUUGAUGUUAAAAUAAAUAAUAAUUCAGUUGGUGAACACGAUCUGGGUGUGGUUCCCACCAAUCGAUAAGAAACCCUUCAUUUGCCAUCUGCUAUUAAAACCUGUAAAUUGUUCAAGUUUUCUGACUGAA